RNAcentral lists this ribosomal RNA (513 nucleotides) under uncultured prokaryote. RNAcentral's name for it is "bacterial SSU rRNA". It matches the Rfam family "Bacterial small subunit ribosomal RNA", at positions 382 to 905 of the family's 1533-position model. The record is from RNAcentral.
UCUUAUUGCAAACUCCCGGGAGUGGACGGACGGCCUUCGGAUGGUAAGCCGUUUUCGCCUGUGACGAAGCGUGAGUGACGGUGAUGGGUAAAGAAGCACCGGCUAACUACGUGCCAGCAGCCGCGGUGAUACGUAGGGUGCGAGCGUUGUCCGGAUUUAUUGGGCGUAAAGGGCUCGUAGGUGGUUGAUCGCGUCGGAAGUGUAAUCUUGGGGCUUAACCCUGAGCGUGCUUUCGAUACGGGUUGACUUGAGGAAGGUAGGGGAGAAUGGAAUUCCUGGUGGAGCGGUGGAAUGCGCAGAUAUCAGGAGGAACACCAGUGGCGAAGGCGGUUCUCUGGGCCUUUCCUGACGCUGAGGAGCGAAAGCGUGGGGAGCGAACAGGCUUAGAUACCCUGGUAGUCCACGCUGUAAACGGUGGGUACUAGGUGUGGGGUCCAUUCCACGGGUUCCGUGCCGUAGCUAACGCUUUAAGUACCCCGCCUGGGGAGUACGGCCGCAAGGCUAAAACUCAAA